MicroRNA precursor from Bos grunniens (domestic yak), 80 nucleotides. NCBI's taxonomy places the organism in Eukaryota, Metazoa, Chordata, Mammalia, Artiodactyla, Bovidae. The record is from Ensembl.
AUUAGGUUGACCAAAAAGUUCGUUUUGGUUUUUCUGCACAAUCUUAUAAAAACCCAAACGACCUUUCUGACCAAUCCGAU